AGGAUAAUAGUUAAAUUAACAUUUAAUUUGCAUUUAAAAAAUACUGACUAUCAGUUUAUCUU
This 62-nucleotide transfer RNA is filed under the name Illeis koebelei. RNAcentral's name for it is "tRNA-Ala". The record is from RNAcentral. Lineage: Eukaryota; Metazoa; Arthropoda; Insecta; Coleoptera; Coccinellidae. RNAcentral also lists the same sequence under 1 other name.